This is a long non-coding RNA of Lathyrus oleraceus (garden pea), 598 nucleotides long. RefSeq lists it as uncharacterized. The record is from RefSeq and is a predicted model, not a curated record. NCBI's taxonomy places the organism in Eukaryota, Viridiplantae, Streptophyta, Magnoliopsida, Fabales, Fabaceae. The transcript has 3 exons.
UUUUAGACACUGAUUUGUUAGAUGAUAAUGCUAGAGGUCAAGGUAUACUACUCUCACGCCUAAAGUCAUAUUAUAAUAGUUUAUAUUUAGAUGAGCAUUCUACCGAAGAUGCUCGAAUAAUCAAAACUAGAUGUUACAUUAUGUUGUUACUAGGAUCCUUUUUAUUUCCCGAAGGUAGUGGUUCUAGCAUGCAUAUUAUGUACUUACCUUUACUUAGACAUAUAGAUAGAAUAGGUAGUUACAGUUGGGGAUCCGCAUGUCUAGCCUAUCUCUAUAGUUCGUUGUGCAAAAACUCCCACAAAGACACAUCGACAUUUUCUGGAUGUGCUGUUUUGCUACAAGCAUGAGGAUGGUCAAGACUACCGUCUCUAGCACCGGUCAAUAACAACCCCUUCACUUUUCCAUAUGCAAAAAAAUGGUCGGCACGUGGUAUGAAUUACAGCAGAUGUCCGAGACACUGUAUUACUCAGUAUCGCAACCUGUUGGAUCACCUUCGACCGACAGACUUCAUUUGGCGUCCAUACCUUAAUAUGGAUCAUGAGCAUCAGGUCAACCCUGAAGACGCAGCCGUAUGGACAGCAUGCACACCGAUAAUACG